AAUUGGGAAACCAAUUUCUACUCUUUGAAAAGCCAUUAAAGGACGAAGAUAGGNCAAGCUAGAAAGGGNGCAUCCCUUUUGCCUUGGCAUCAAGAGCCGAUGAAGGACGUGAUAAGCUGCUAUAAGCUUCGGGUAGGCGCACAUAGACUGAGAUUCUUAGAUCUCCGAAUGAGGUAACUCACAUGGUGAAACCCCCUGUAUCAUUAAGUGAAUACAUAGCUUAAUGAAGGUGACCCAGGGAACUGAAUACAUCUAAGUACCUGGAGGAAGAAAAAGAAAAAUCGAUUUUCUUACUUGCGGCGAGCGAAAGGGAAAGAGCCCAAACCGGAAACUUGUUUCCGGGGUUGUGGACAUAUCAUAAAACUGGAGGCUAUUGUAACUGAAGAGAACUGGAUAGUUCCACCGUAGAAGGUAAUAUUCCUGUCAAGUGAAACAAGAAGACCACGAGUUAUGAUCCAGAGUACCACGAGACACAUUGAAACCUUGUGGGAAUCACGGCGGACCACCUCCCAAGGCUUAGUUCUACCUGAUGAUCGAUAGUGAAGCAGUACCGUGAGGGAAAGGUGACAAAAACCCAGGGAGGGGAGUGAAAUAGAUCUUGAAAUCGUGUGCCUACAACCGCUCUCAGCCACUUAAGAGGGUGAUGAGGUGCUUUUAGUAAAACGAGCGCAACUGCUUACGGUAUGUUGCACGGUUAAGUACUUAACGUACGGAGCCUACGGGAAACCGAUUCUGACUAAGGCGACUCGUUGCAUGCCGUUGACCCGAUACCGGGUGACCUAUCCUUGGCCUAGUUGAGGCGAGAGAAAACCUCGUGGAAGACCCAACCACAUUGCUGUUGAAAUGGCAUAGGAUGAGCUGUUAAUUUCGGAUUAAUUUCUUAUUCAACCCAGAUAAUUCUGGUUCUCUCCAAAAUAACUUUAAGGCCAGCCCCAAGAUUUAAAAAGGUCGGUCAAUCAAAGAAAGGGCCUAGAGGGAAAUCCCUUUCCAAACCCUUUCAACCUCUUAAAGCCCAAAAUUUUGCCCUGGCCAUUUUCAAAUAAAUUUAGAGAUCCCCGGGCCCCAGGGAAAAAACCCGUAUUUUCCCAUUAGGCCCCANAGUGUAACUAAAGUGCGAAAAGUGGGUGGAUUUCUUAAAAAAUACCGAUGUGGGUUAAUAACCCCCUUUCUUUAAAAAAG
Molecule: small RNA, 1179 nt
Filed under: Clostridium perfringens
Lineage: Bacteria; Bacillati; Bacillota; Clostridia; Eubacteriales; Clostridiaceae
Description: bacterial LSU rRNA
Rfam family: Bacterial large subunit ribosomal RNA
Source: RNAcentral